This 503-nucleotide ribosomal RNA is filed under the name uncultured bacterium. Its description in RNAcentral is "partial 16S ribosomal RNA". It matches the Rfam family "Bacterial small subunit ribosomal RNA", at positions 29 to 523 of the family's 1533-position model. The record is from RNAcentral.
AUUGAACGCUGGCGGCAGGCUUAACACAUGCAAGUCGAGCGGGGUGAUGGUGCUUGCACUAUCACUUAGCGGCGGACGGGUGAGUAAUGCUUAGGAAUCUGCCUAUUAGUGGGGGACAACAUCUCGAAAGGGAUGCUAAUACCGCAUACGUCCUACGGGAGAAAGCAGGGGAUCACUUGUGACCUUGCGCUAAUAGAUGAGCCUAAGUCGGAUUAGCUAGUUGGUGGGGUAAAGGCCUACCAAGGCGACGAUCUGUAGCGGGUCUGAGAGGAUGUACGCACACACUGGGAGGGAGACACGGCCCAGCCCCCCGCGGGAGGCAGCAGGGGGGAAUAUUGGACAAGGGGGGGAACCUGGAUCCAGCCAGGCCGCGUGUGGGAAGAAGGCCUUAUGGUUGUAAAGCACUUUAGGGGAGGAGGAGGCUCUUUUGGUUAAUACCCAAGAUGAGGGGACGUUACUCGCAGAAUAAGCACCGGCUAACUCGGUGCCAGCCGCCGCCGUAA